RNAcentral lists this long non-coding RNA (597 nucleotides) under Marmota monax (woodchuck). The record is from RNAcentral. Lineage: Eukaryota; Metazoa; Chordata; Mammalia; Rodentia; Sciuridae.
UGCAUUUUAGGUAAGUUGAGCCAUGCCUUUUCAUGGCUAGAUAGCUUAUUUCUUUUCAGCACUGAAUAAUAUUCCAAUAUAUGGAUGCAUCAGUUUAUACAUUCAUUUACAGAAAGACAUCUGGUUGCUACCAAGUUUGGGAAAAUAUGAAUAAAAGUAAUAUAAACAUCCACCUGCAAGUUUUUAUGUAGAUAUGUUUGCAUCUCAUUUGGGUAAAUAUCAAGGAAUGUAAUUGGUGGAUCAUAGGGCAGAAGUAUGUUUACUUUUGUAAAAAGUCUCCAAACUAUCUUCCAAAGUGGCUGUGUCAUUUUUCAUUCCUAGAGCAAAGAGUAAGAGUUCCUCUUGCUUCACGUUCUUACCAGCAUUUGAUGUUGUCAGUGUUUUGGAUUGUGGAUAUCCUAUUGGUGUAUGGUGGUAUCUGAUUGCUUUUGUUUGCAAGUCCCUAAAUGCCACAUGAUGUUGAACAUCUUUUCAUCUGCUUACUUGGCAUCAACUGUAGAACUUCUUUGGUGAGGGUCAUCAAGCUUUUUGCCCAUUUUUAAAAUUGGGCUCUUUGUCUUAUUGCUACGUUUUCUGAGUUCUUGUAUAUUUUGGACA